This 118-nucleotide small nuclear RNA is filed under the name Brassica rapa (field mustard). Its description in RNAcentral is "snRNA U5". It matches the Rfam family "U5 spliceosomal RNA". From Rfam's summary of the family: U5 RNA is a component of both types of known spliceosome. The precise function of this molecule is unknown, though it is known that the 5' loop is required for splice site selection and p220 binding, and that both the 3' stem-loop and the Sm site are important for Sm protein binding and cap methylation. Lineage: Eukaryota; Viridiplantae; Streptophyta; Magnoliopsida; Brassicales; Brassicaceae. The record is from Rfam by way of RNAcentral.
AGCCAUGUGGUGAGCACAAAGCGAACUAUUCUUUCGCCUUUUACUAAAGAAUACCGUGUGCUCUCCACGCUAAGUGGCAUACGCCUAUUUUUGGAGGGUCCCACUUUAGAGUGGGCCC